AUGAACGCUAGCGAUAGGCUUAACACAUGCAAGUCGAGGGGCAGCACAAGGUAGCUUGCUCUCUGGGUGGCGACCGGCGCACGGGUGCGUAACGCGUAUGCAACUUGCCCUAUACAGGAGGAUAACCCGUCGAAAGACGGACUAAUACUGCGUAUGCUCACAACUUGGCAUCAAGUGGUGAGGAAAGAAAUUCGGUAUAGGAUAGGCAUGCGUCCCAUUAGCUUGUUGGUGAGGUAACGGCUCACCAAGGCAACGAUGGGUAGGGGAACUGAGAGGUUUAUCCCCCACACUGGUACUGAGACACGGACCAGACUCCUACGGGAGGCAGCAGUGAGGAAUAUUGGUCAAUGGGCGCGAGCCUGAACCAGCCAAGUCGCGUGAAGGAUGACUGUAUUAUGGAUUGUAAACUUCUUUUAUACGGGAAUAACAAGAGUCACGUGUGACUCCCUGCAUGUACCGUAUGAAUAAGCAUCGGCUAACUCCGUG
RNAcentral lists this ribosomal RNA (486 nucleotides) under uncultured bacterium. RNAcentral describes it as "partial 16S ribosomal RNA". It matches the Rfam family "Bacterial small subunit ribosomal RNA", at positions 29 to 507 of the family's 1533-position model. The record is from RNAcentral.